Molecule: ribosomal RNA, 208 nt
Filed under: uncultured bacterium
Lineage: Bacteria
Description: partial 16S ribosomal RNA
Rfam family: Bacterial small subunit ribosomal RNA
Source: RNAcentral
UUCGGAUUGAAGGCUGAAAUUCGCCUUCAUGAAGCUGGAAUUGCUAGUAAUGGCAGGUCAGCAUACUGCCGUGAAUACGUUCCCGGGCCUUGUACACACCGCCCGUCACACCAUGAGAGUUGGGAAUACCCGAAGCCUGUGAGCUAACUUAUAGAGGCAGCAGUCGAAGGUAGAAUCAAUGAUUGGGGUGAAGUCGUAACAAGGUAAC